RNAcentral lists this ribosomal RNA (450 nucleotides) under uncultured bacterium. RNAcentral describes it as "partial 16S ribosomal RNA". It matches the Rfam family "Bacterial small subunit ribosomal RNA", at positions 354 to 796 of the family's 1533-position model. The record is from RNAcentral.
GUGGGGAAUCUUCCGCAAUGGACGAAAGUCUGACGGAGCAACGCCGCGUGAGUGAAGAAGGUUUUCGGAUCGUAAAGCUCUUUCGUUAGGGACGAACGUGCUCUUUGUGAAUAAUGAGGAGUAAUGACGGUACCUAAAUAAGAAGCCACGGCUAACUACGUGCCAGCAGCCGCGGUAAUACGUAGGUGGCAAGCGUUGUCCGGAAUUAUUGGGCGUAAAGCGCGCGCAGGCGGGAUAUCAAGUCUGUCUUAAAAGUGCGAGGCUCAACCUCGUGGAGGGACAGAAACUGGUAUUCUUGAGUGUCGGAGAGGAAAGUGGAAUUCCAAGUGUAGCGGUGAAAUGCGUAGAGAUUUGGAAGAACACCAGUGGCGAAGGCGACUUUCUGGACGAUGUCUGACGCUGAGGCGCGAAAGCUAGGGGAGCGAACGGGAUUAGAUACCCGGGUAGUCC